Non-coding RNA from Heterocephalus glaber (naked mole-rat), 71 nucleotides. The record is from Rfam. NCBI's taxonomy places the organism in Eukaryota, Metazoa, Chordata, Mammalia, Rodentia, Bathyergidae.
GAUGUUGUAGUCCAGUGGUAUAGCACUUGCCUAGCAUGCAUGAGGCCUGGGUUUGAUUCCCAGCACCUUAG